Canis lupus familiaris (dog) is the source of this 1303-nucleotide long non-coding RNA. RefSeq lists it as uncharacterized. The record is from RefSeq and is a predicted model, not a curated record. The transcript is spliced from 4 exons. NCBI's taxonomy places the organism in Eukaryota, Metazoa, Chordata, Mammalia, Carnivora, Canidae.
GAUCAUAAAAGUCUGUUUGGGUUAGUAUAGAGAAUCUAGUCAGUACUGUUUUACAAAACUCUUUGCUGUGAUGGAUAUGUUGUAAAAUUCUCACUGUCCAAUGCAGUGGCCAUUAGCCCCAUGUGAAUCUUGAGUCCUGGAAGUGUGGCUGUUGCAACUGAGGAACUAAAUUUUUAUUUUAUUUCAAUGAAUUUAAAUUAAAACAACCACAUCUGGCUAGUGGCUGCCGUAUUGUAUAACCAGCUCUAGAAUGAAUAUAUGAAAAUUGGUUGGGGCACUCUUGGUUAAUUGAUGGGGUAAGGAAACCAGAGCUGACAAACCAAGGUAACCGGUGGAGCCUCUGCUAGUCCCUGAAGCCCACGCAUUCCUCAUUUUCCUCUUCAGUGCAUACAACUAAUGUGGCAGGUCUGCCGCUUGAUCCUAAAGGAGCAGGUGAUCCUGACCAUAAAAGUAUGAUAAAUGAUGCAUCUAAGAGGUGGCAAAGUGUAGCCACCUCCUCCUUCAGGAGAGCUACCUCUAAUGAAUUUCAUCGUUUCCUUUCCAAGGUGUGCACGUCUAGUAGGAGACAAUCACUAAUUGCCUGCUGACUAGAUCGUCAAACAAAAUUCUGAUGACCAGCUGGCUCUAAUUAUUGUCAUUCCUUUGCAGGCCAAGUAUCCCAAAUAGAGUCUGGCAUAGAGAAGUCAAUAGAUGCUUGUGGAAUUGAAUCAGCAUGGACAUGAAGACAGGCAGAGAGCAGGGAGCAGGAGAGGGAGACACAGACUCCUCAAGCACACUCGGCCCCAAGCGCAGAGCCUGCCAGGGGCGGGUUCCCAGGAUGCUGAGGCCAUGACCUGAGCCACAACCAAGAGUCAGAUGCUAAGUGACAGAGCCACAGGCGUCAAGCCCCGUGUUCCUGCUGUGGGCACUCCUGCCUUCCCCCUGCCCCCCGCAGCCACUGAGAGCUCGGGCUUUGGUCUGCGCUCCAACUCCCAGGUGGUCUGGAGGCUACAGUGCAGGCUGCACGUCUCCUCUGUCCCACCUCAGGCUGAAAGGGCCUCAGCCCUGAGAAGGAAUCAGAUCUGCCCAACCACCCCCAGCCGGAGGGAGCUGCUGGAGCAGCAGGUAGAAGAACUGGUGCCUGCCUUGCUGCACAUUGACUCCUUGUCCAUAUUUGAAUUCCUAAAUGUUUUGGAGGAAUAUGGCACCCCUGAAGAGGUGCUGGACCUGCUGUUUGCAAAGUGAACACCCUGACUCCACAGCCCAGUGGGAUGGGCCACCUACUUGUUGGGAGUCUUGGGGAAUGUUCCUGAACUUCCCGGCC